GAUGAACGCUGGCGGCGUGCUUAACACAUGCAAGUCGAACGGGAAACCUUUUAUUGAAGCUUCGGCAGAUUUAGCUGGUUUCUAGUGGCGGACGGGUGAGUAACGCGUGGGUAACCUGCCUUAUACAGGGGGAUAACAGUCAGAAAUGGCUGCUAAUACCGCAUAAGCGCACAGAGCUGCAUGGCUCAGUGUGAAAGACUCCGGUGGUAUAAGAUGGACCCACGUUGGAUUAGCUGGUGGGUGGGGUGACGGCCCACCAAGGCGACGAGCCAGAGCCGGACUGAGAGGGGGAACGGCGACAUUGGGACUGAGACACGGCCCAGACUCGUACGAGAGGCAGGAGUGGGGAAUAUAGCACAAUGGGGGAAACGCUGAUGCAGCGACGCCGGGUGAAGGAAGAAGUAUCUCGGUAUGUAAACUACUAGCAGCAGGGAAGAUAAUGACGGUACCUGACGAAGAAGCCCCGGCUAACUACGUG
Molecule: ribosomal RNA, 478 nt
Filed under: uncultured bacterium
Lineage: Bacteria
Description: partial 16S ribosomal RNA
Rfam family: Bacterial small subunit ribosomal RNA
Source: RNAcentral